RNAcentral lists this ribosomal RNA (330 nucleotides) under uncultured bacterium. RNAcentral describes it as "bacterial SSU rRNA". It matches the Rfam family "Bacterial small subunit ribosomal RNA", at positions 568 to 898 of the family's 1533-position model. The record is from RNAcentral.
UGCGCAGGCGGUUCUCCAAGUCCGUUGUGAAAGCCCCGGGCUCAACCUGGGAAUGGCAGUGGAAACUAGGGGACUUGAAUCUGGCAGAGGGGGGUGGAAUUCCACGUGUAGCAGUGAAAUGCGUAGAGAUGUGGAGGAACACCGAUGGCGAAGGCAGCCCCCUGGGCUGAGAUUGACGCUCAGGCACGAAAGCGUGGGGAGCAAACAGGAUUAGAUACCCUGGUAGUCCACGCCCUAAACGAUGUCAACUAGGUGUUGGGGAAGCGAUUUCUCAGUACCGCAGCUAACGCGUGAAGUUGACCGCCUGGGGAGUACGGUCGCAAGAUUAAA